This is a non-coding RNA of Erythranthe guttata (spotted monkey flower), 857 nucleotides long. NCBI's taxonomy places the organism in Eukaryota, Viridiplantae, Streptophyta, Magnoliopsida, Lamiales, Phrymaceae. The record is from RefSeq and is a predicted model, not a curated record.
UAUAUCUACAAUACUCUGUUCUUGAAAGUGUCUCUUCAUUUACUACGUAACAAACGUUCUGAGGCUUCAUGUGAAUGAUAUUGAGAAAGGAGGGCCGAGAGCUCCUCCGAGAAACAAGAUGGCGCUUUACGAACAGCUCAGCAUUCCGUCUCAGAGAUACAGUCGUUCGAUGCUUCCGUAUACAGCUAAUAGUAAUAGCCCUGCCAAUUUGGUGUCUCCUUCGAGCCAGGUUGUAUAAUUCAUUUCAAUUUUCUGACAAUUGAACAUACAAAAGCAGCAGGGAAAAUCAAGUUUUUUCGGAUGAUAACUAUUAGUCGCUUUAUCAAAAUUCUCCCCCAUAUAAGUAUCAUAGUAUUUUAUAUAGAAUUUGAAGCAACAGCUAGCAGAAGUCAUUCAGGCUUACGAGGUUCGGACUAAAGUUAUUAGGCAACAAAAAAGACGUGCAAAUGAAGAGGAAAUAUUCCAUCUUCUGAUUCUGCCUUAUUGUAAACAUAUGCUCAGCUAUUUUAAGAGUUGGUCUAUAGUUAUGUCUUAUUUUUAAACUUAAUUUUUUAAAUAUUUGGAUAAUGAGCUUAAAAGCUAUUGGUACGCAUCAUGAGAUCCCGUUAUGUUUUAUUUUUCUUAAACAAUAUUCUAAAUAAUUAUGAAUACAAUAAGGAGGUUGUAACAUUUUGAGUAAAAAAGGGUACUAAGUGAAGAGAGAACCUCAAAUGGAUGGUUGUAAUUGUCCAAACAAGGAUCAUUUUUUCUUAAUCCAGCAUUAUCUUUAGGUUGUUUGUAAUUAUCUCAAAUAAGAAUCUAAUUUUGUUUACAGGUUAUUUACAUGUAAUGGUUGAUUUGAAUUAAGCAUUUGUUUU